RNAcentral lists this small RNA (174 nucleotides) under Mycobacterium sp. RNAcentral describes it as "Magnesium sequence". It matches the Rfam family "M-box riboswitch aptamer (ykoK leader)". From Rfam's summary of the family: M-box riboswitch, also know as ykoK leader is described as a metaloregulatory RNA that sense divalent metals and function as a genetic control element of genes related to divalent metal transport in bacteria. It was first reported upstream of the B.subtilis ykoK gene and genes with related functions in other bacteria. Lineage: Bacteria; Bacillati; Actinomycetota; Actinomycetes; Mycobacteriales; Mycobacteriaceae. The record is from RNAcentral.
UGAGCACCUCGUUAGGUGAGGCGUCCGCACGGACACAGGCCACUGACCUCGAACGUCGAGAGACGCCCAAGGUCAGGACAGCUCUUCCCGGCUUAAGGGUUGAGCCCAAGUGGCUUCCGGGAGAUCGACCGGAUACGUCGUGCGGUGCUGAAGCUUGGACGAGAGGGGUGCGGU